GAAAGCUGUAUCCCUUCUAGCCAUGGGCUGGGAAAGGGGAAGUGACGAUGACGUUGAGUUUGUUAUAUAACUCAAUGGCUCUGGUCUGUUGUUAUUUGGGGAAGUAGAGUUCUGACAGACGUUCUUGCCUCAGCUGAAAACGUUAGCUAGAUUUCUCUACUGGAGUACUCGCUCUCAAACUACAAAGUCAGGACAACUGUAACUGAACGAAGUGAAGGAUCUAGCUAUCUUACACUUAGAAGUUAUUUGACUAGUGGAAACGUCGUCGGAUAGAGAGACUUGCUAGUAGCUAGCUAACUAAAUAACUACAAUGGAGCAGGUUAGCUAACUUUACAUCGUUCAUUCUGUUCUGGUUUGUUGUAGUGUCACAAUAAUAAUCACUAGUGAUGGGGAAACUAAGCUUCCUGAAGCAUUGAGGCUGUCCAGCACUAAGAUGAACACAACGCUAGCCCGCCCCCCUCCGCCCUCAUGGAAUCCCCCGGGUUGCGCCUCUUCCAGUAGUGCCUUACUACUGGGUCUGAAGAGGUUGUCUGUGCGGCUGGUCGACUGCAGGAAAACACUGGGGCUGAGUCGAACUAUGAGAGUAGGAGACGUGGAGAAGGCUGGAGAUUUAACUGAUCAAAGAGAGAGACGUGACUGUUGUGGAUCCUCUGGGUCUCCUGAGUCUCAACAUCCUGAUACUGACGAGGCAGCACCUCUCUAGAUCGGAAACACUUCAAGAAAACACCAGGGGAGACCCACCGGGAAACAAACCUCACAGCUACCCUGACUGUGGGAAGAGUUGCAACUCUUCCUCAAAACUUAAAGUAUACCAGCGAACACAUACAGGAGAGAAACCAUACAGCUGUGUUAAAUGUGGGAACAGCCCUGACUGCACAUGAGAACAAACACUGGAGAAAAACCUUACAGCUGCUCCCAUUUGUAGUAAGAUGUUCUCUAAAAUGGGAAAUCUGAUAGGACACCAAUGAACACACAGAAGAGAAACCGUACCACUGCUCUAACUAUGGAAAGAGUUUUGCUGACUCAAGAAACCUGAAAGUUAAUCAGAGAGCACACACUGGAGAGAGGCCUUCUUACAGCUGUGACCAAUGUGGGAAAACAUUCACUCAGUCAGCACACCUGACUUUACACCUGCAGAAACACAAAGGAGAGAAGUCUAACCCCUGCACUGACUGUGGGAUGAGCUUUUUAACAGUCACAAGCAUUAAAUACAUACCAGAGAACACACACACUGAAGAGUAACCUUACCACUGCACACGGUGGGAAGAGUUUUCACAAUCGAGUGCUUAAAGUGAAUUUUCAGCAUGACUAAAUGUAUUUCUCUAUCACUGGGUUUUAUAGCAUGGAUCGAAAUGCGUAGUGAUAUGAGCUCUCUGUGUGGGGAGGUUUGGGGAGAGGUUGGUACACGCAUGAUGACUUUAUAUAGUUUCAUUUACUUCUAGCUGAAUCAUGCCUGUUCUAACAAUAUAUUCACAUGUUUACAAAGUAUGAUUAAAGUAAAAAAAAAUUAUAAUAAUACAUCUGCUUGCAACUUUAUUACAUUUAAUUUCAUGAAACCUUUGUGUUAACUUUCAUUUAUUUUUUUUAUUUUUUAAAGCUCCUAAUUAUAAAAUCAUAACUUGUACACAAAUAAAGAAGAGUCUGAUUCAGGGUGGGAAAACAGGAAGUGACGAUAACGUUGGGUUUCUUAUGUUUAGUGUUCUUGUAGGUCAGAUGUCCAGUAGGGUGGCGAGAGGAGUGUACUUCUAAUAUAUUGCUUGUUCUCUAAAGUAAGCAAUAGAAGUCUAGACUAGCCUGAGUGGUUUAGGAGCAAUGCUGAAUCCUGACCCAUCUAAUGGCUGAUCGAUCUAGACUAACGUGUGGAUAAGGCCGCCAAAUAUUUGGUGUUGAACAGGAAAUGACUGUGUUGUGACAAAACCAGAUACUUUCCCCUCACUGGUUGCUUUGAUAAAAGUAAUUUUGUCCUUACACUGUACACAGACAUUUAAAAUCGACAUGAAUAUAAAACACAGAAUUGCCUGCCUUUGGUCCUGGAUAAUUACUGGAUUUGUAGACUUUUGUUCCAGCCCAACAGUAACAGACCGCAUUACAAUUCGAA
RNAcentral lists this long non-coding RNA (2098 nucleotides) under Salmo salar (Atlantic salmon). Its description in RNAcentral is "lncRNA (ENSSSAG00000106425.1)". Lineage: Eukaryota; Metazoa; Chordata; Actinopteri; Salmoniformes; Salmonidae. The record is from RNAcentral.